UUAGUGGCGAACGGGUGAGUAACGCGUGAGCAACCUGCCUUAGACAAGGGGAUAGCCUCGGGAAACCGUGAUUAAUACCCUAUGAGACUCCGCCUACGAGUGUAGAAGAAGUUAAAGCAUUAGCGGUCUAAGAUGGGCUCGCGUCUGAUUAGCUAGUUGGUGAGAUAAAAGCCCACCAAGGCGACGAUCAGUAACCGGCUUGAGAGAGUGAACGGUCACAUUGGAACUGAGACACGGUCCAAACUCC
RNAcentral lists this ribosomal RNA (247 nucleotides) under uncultured bacterium. Its description in RNAcentral is "partial 16S ribosomal RNA". It matches the Rfam family "Bacterial small subunit ribosomal RNA", at positions 92 to 339 of the family's 1533-position model. The record is from RNAcentral.